RNAcentral lists this ribosomal RNA (599 nucleotides) under Acinetobacter sp. RNAcentral describes it as "bacterial SSU rRNA". It matches the Rfam family "Bacterial small subunit ribosomal RNA", at positions 329 to 919 of the family's 1533-position model. Lineage: Bacteria; Pseudomonadati; Pseudomonadota; Gammaproteobacteria; Moraxellales; Moraxellaceae. The record is from RNAcentral.
GCCCAGACUCCUACGGGAGGCAGCAGUGGGGAAUAUUGGACAAUGGGCGCAAGCCUGAUCCAGCCAUGCCGCGUGUGUGAAGAAGGCCUUUUGGUUGUAAAGCACUUUAAGCGAGGAGGAGGCUACUUAGAUUAAUACUCUAGGAUAGUGGACGUUACUCGCAGAAUAAGCACCGGCUAACUCUGUGCCAGCAGCCGCGGUAAUACAGAGGGUGCGAGCGUUAAUCGGAUUUACUGGGCGUAAAGCGUGCGUAGGCGGCUUCUUAAGUCGGAUGUGAAAUCCCUGAGCUUAACUUAGGAAUUGCAUUCGAUACUGGGAAGCUAGAGUAUGGGAGAGGAUGGUAGAAUUCCAGGUGUAGCGGUGAAAUGCGUAGAGAUCUGGAGGAAUACCGAUGGCGAAGGCAGCCAUCUGGCCUAAUACUGACGCUGAGGUACGAAAGCAUGGGGAGCAAACAGGAUUAGAUACCCUGGUAGUCCAUGCCGUAAACGAUGUCUACUAGCCGUUGGGGCCUUUGAGGCUUUAGUGGCGCAGCUAACGCGAUAAGUAGACCGCCUGGGGAGUACGGUCGCAAGACUAAAACUCAAAUGAAUUGACGGGGG